GCCUUCUACCCAUUCUAACUAGCAUGAGCCCCUCCUUCCCGAAAGCAACGUCAUUGUGACUUCUGAGAGGAUCCACAGAAUAAUUUUGCCUAUCAUCCAAUGCAGAUCACUGCAGAGCCCCCUGUGACAUGCACCUGUUAACUGGCACGAAGGCUGCUCCUUGAUGUUUACAGUGAGGAUGGUGAGUGGUUCUCAGACAACAAGGAUUCUUCGUGCUGCCCUUUGGAACGUGCUCUGAAAAUAAAUCACUCAGAAGUCCAAGGGGUGAGAACUGCAAGGGAUGUAAGUGCUGUAGCUACCUCCAUCCAGAUCUGAAAUUAUUUUAUUGCUUUCACACCAUUCACCAUGUUGCACUUAAUCUUUU
RNAcentral lists this long non-coding RNA (364 nucleotides) under Chinchilla lanigera (long-tailed chinchilla). RNAcentral's name for it is "lncRNA (ENSCLAG00000022652.1)". Lineage: Eukaryota; Metazoa; Chordata; Mammalia; Rodentia; Chinchillidae. The record is from RNAcentral.